RNAcentral lists this ribosomal RNA (394 nucleotides) under uncultured bacterium. Its description in RNAcentral is "partial 16S ribosomal RNA". It matches the Rfam family "Bacterial small subunit ribosomal RNA", at positions 338 to 729 of the family's 1533-position model. The record is from RNAcentral.
CCUACGGGAGGCAGCAGUGAGGAAUAUUGGUCAAUGGACGAGAGUCUGAACCAGCCAAGUCGCGUGAAGGAUGACUGUCCUAUGGGUUGUAAACUUCUUUUAUAAAGGAAUAAAACGAGGCACGUGUGGCUUUUUGCAUGUACUUUAUGAAUAAGGAUCGGCUAACUCCGAGCCAGCAGCCGCGGUAAUACGGAGGAUCCGAGCGGUUUCCGGAUUUAUUGGGGUUAUAGGGGGCGGAGAUGGGGUGUUAAGUCAGUUGUGAAAGUUUGCGGCUCAACCGUAUAAUUGCAAUUGAUACUGGCUGUCUUGAGUGCAGUUGAGGUAGGCGGAAUUCGUGGUGUAGCGGUGAAAUGCUUAGAUAUCACGAAGAACCCCGAUUGCGAAGGCAGCUUAC